RNAcentral lists this ribosomal RNA (253 nucleotides) under uncultured bacterium. Its description in RNAcentral is "partial 16S ribosomal RNA". It matches the Rfam family "Bacterial small subunit ribosomal RNA", at positions 524 to 776 of the family's 1533-position model. The record is from RNAcentral.
UACAGAGGUCUCAAGCGUUGUUCGGAUUCAUUGGGCGUAAAGGGUGCGUAGGCGGCGCGGUAAGUCGGGUGUGAAAUCUUGGAGCUUAACUCCGAAACUGCAUUCGAUGCUGCCGUGCUUGAGGACUGGAGAGGAGACUGGAAUUUACGGUGUAGCGGUGAAAUGCGUAGAGAUGUGGAGGAACACCAGUGGCGAAGGCGACUCUUUGGCCUGUAACUGACGCUGAGGCGCGAAAGCGUGGGGAGCAAACAGG